This is a long non-coding RNA of Gopherus flavomarginatus (Mexican gopher tortoise), 3915 nucleotides long. RefSeq lists it as uncharacterized. The transcript has 2 exons. NCBI's taxonomy places the organism in Eukaryota, Metazoa, Chordata, Testudines, Testudinidae. The record is from RefSeq and is a predicted model, not a curated record.
UGGGGGGGGGGUUGGGUUUUUUUUGUUUGUUUGUUUUUUGGGGAGAGUCUGAAGUUUUACUUGGUGUUGAUGGUACACAAGUAUUAGAGUCAGAUCUAGAAAGACGUAUGAGGCUCCAUAAAGAAAUUUCCUAGAGACACAUCUGCGCCUUUACAAAUAAAAUACUGUUCUUCUGACACAAUGAAAGGAUAUUCAAGAAAGGGAUGCAAGAAAUAAAACAAACUGAACCCUGGUACACAGUAACAGAAUGUUCAGAAAGGCGGAAACAACAAAUCUCUCCUUUUGCUAAUUGGAAGAAUGACUUAUGUAACCUUUCUGGAUAGAAAUAAUACACUUCGGUAUGGUUCCAACUCAUACUUCACCCUGAAAGAGCCAGUUCUGUUACACAUUGUAGAGUGCAAGCUUCUUGCUAUUUGACUUGAUUUUUCUGUUCUGUUUAAUAUAUCUAAAUGUACUCAAAAUGCUAAACAAUGUAUGGUGGAUUUAUUUUUAUUGCAUUUAGUAUGUGCCUUGCAAAUGCCUGUGUUUUAGUAGGUCAGUGUUAUUCAUGUCCAUCUUUAUAAGAGGUGCACAUAACCAAAACAGCUUGGACGUGUUUAUGCUGAAUUGGCUCUGUUGCUGUCUGGAUUAUAUUAAGUGAAACACAUUCCACUGAAUGUAAAGAUGUCAGUAUCCAGUCAGGUGUGUAUCAGAUUUGUUUAAUGUUCAUGGUACAUCAGCGGCGAACUGAAUGAACAGUUGAAGCUUUUUCUUUACUUUCAAGUAGCAUCAAAGGAGGAAUAACUUAUUUUUUUAAUAUUCAGAUAGGCAGUCUCCAGAAUUCUUUGAUGUCCAGAGUAACGAUAAAAAGGUGAUGUGAACCUUCACAACUGAUGAGAUGCAACUGAUUGGGUUUUCAGCUGUAUGGCUAAUAUAUGAAUCCCUGUGAAAGUGGACACCAACCUGAAUUUUAAAGUAAUGAUCAUCUCUGUGCUCCAGAGAUGACACCAUUCAUUGUGCUUCCUCUUGCCUGUGUACGUUGAUUGGCCAAAUACAAGUCAGAUCAUUUCAGCUCUUCUAUUGACACCUGUUUCCCCCUCACAUCAAGAAAUGUAGUACAUAGAGAUUACAUCUCACUGUAAUGCUUGUCUAGUGCUUUUGCAUUUAAAUCCUUAACUCUUCAAUAAAUGAAAAUAAUGUUAGAUAUUUCUAAUUUAAUGGCCCCAAUUAAAAAAGUGUAUCUAAUACUGAGUGUGCCCCUCAGUAGUUUUUCUGCUUGUUUCUCAGUGAGAGUUCCUAUGCUCAGAGGAUGAGUUGCUUGCUGUAGUAGAAAGGGUUAUGAACUGCUGUGUUUAAUUUAAAAUAAAAUCUGUUAGGUUUCAGCUGGGUUUGCUGGACAUUUCUAAGAAUUUAUUCAGCUCUGUCUGCUCUUAAUUUUAUGCUGUAAUAAAUAGAUAAGUGUUGAGUACAUUUGGUAACUGUCAAAAGGUCAGUGUGCUCGGGUCUGGGAACAUUUGACUAGUUCAUUCUGGUGACUAAGUGGUUUAAAAGAUCUUUUUUUUUUUAAUAUGUAAUUUUGUAUGAAGGGCUUGGCCAUUAAGCAGAAUACUGAAACGGGUCUCGUAUUUCUUGUAUAUUCCAUGCUUCCCAGCUUUUACAGUUGGAAGAUCUUCAACUGUUUCAGCUUGAUAGGUUACUCUUCUGGUCUGUGUGAAUUAAUUACCGGUAUAUGUAUUUCUUUUCCUUCCAUUAGAAGUUGUUUCCCUACAUCUAAACUUGAAUAAUACUUAGCUAUGGAAGCUGAGUGCCUUUGCAUUUUUUCUCCAGUUUAAAGUGCUUUAUUUUUCACUUAAAAGGUUCUUGACCCUAAUUGAUACAGGGCUGUAUCUGCCAUUGAGUUGCACACAGAUUUCCUAGUGACUUCAACAAAGUUCUGAGUGCAGAACAAUAGUAGGACAAGUCGCUUACAGAAUAUUUUGUGGCACCUUAUUGUGGUUAAAUUUAUUUCCCAUUGUCAUCCCUAUUUUCAGAGGUUUGCAGUGUGGCCAAAAUCAUUCAGUCUAGGCUGAAACUUGGAAUAUAAGCUCUCACCCGGGAAGUAUCCUUCUGUUUAAUAGUAUUUUUUAAUAAAUAGUUUGUAUUUGUUAUAGGAGCUAAAGGAAAUAUCCUGGGUUUAGAAUCGCUGUGCAUUUCUAAUGCUUUUGAAUUUUAAGCUGAGAACUUUGCAUAUAGUGCUAGAAUAUGAACUGGAUUUUUUGGAGGAAAAAGAUUAAAAAAUGACUCGCUGUGACUCCACUGUGGAUAAGCAGCGCGGUAAGUUAUGUGUAUUUCCUCUUUCAGUGAAAUAUGUGUAAUUUUAAUCAUAUGCACUUCGUGUGUUUGUUUGGUAGCUAGAAUGCCACAACAGUCAGUUAUUGCUGCAAACGAGCCCUAACAGUCUAUCUAUACACAGGUUGUGAACAAAGAUUUUAAAGGAUAGACUGUAUUGGCAACAAAGGAACAGUUAACGUUUGGUCAAAACUCCACUUCACAAAAUACCUCUCUCUCUCACACACUCUCUCUCUCUGCUUCACUUCUUUCAGGUAAAUAUGUAUUUACAUUAAGGUGAAUUUCAGGAAAUGGGGGACAUAUGCAUGACAACAUACCCAAGUAACUUGAAUUACGUAGUGUUUCAUGAGUGUUUCCAACCUAUUUUAAAAUGUGUAUCAUUAAAUAUUCAGUUUGUUACAACUUAUUCUUACUAGUUUAAUGUAGAUUUGCUUUUAAAACUUGCACCUCUUCCAUGUUUCUUCUGCUAAAAUUUGCUUGAACAAAAAAAAGCCUUUGUUUUCCCAUUGGUUAAUACAAAUGAAAAGUAUGAGACUGCUAACUGGGAUAUGGAGCAUUUCCCCUCUAGAUUGACCAUACAAAUCCAGCUUAGGCCAGUAGUGACUAUCUGAAGGUGGUUUGGUCAUCAUGAAAUGAAUUGGUGAUCCAGUUAGUAGUGGGCAGGUGUCAACAUGAGGAAGUCACAGAAUUACACUAAUUGGCACCACGCAAAGGGAUGGACACUGAACUGUCUUCUGACCCUUAGAAGUGGUGGUGCCUUCAAUUCCAGUUUGAGGUAACUGACAGAGCAGUGUGGGAAACUUGUCUCAUCCCCACCCACUCCACUCCCUGUAUUGAGAAAGAAUAAAAGAAUUUUAUUGCCAUCUCCUUCAGUCUGGCAUCACAAGCAUUAUAUUUGCUUACAAAGUGGCCCACAAGUUUGAUGACACCACAGCUUGAAAUAUUAUCAGUUGGCAUAACUGCUCUAGAGAGAAUUGGAAUGUUCCAUAGCUUUUAACAAUCAUGAAAACAGAAAACUGAUUUUAAAAAGGCCUUUCCAUGCAUUCUUCCUAAGUUUUAUUUGUUUCUGUGUGCAUUUGAAACAUGACUGAGCACCCUCGCAGUAAUUGGGUUGAAUGAGAGUAACAGUUCUAGUUCUAUGCAAAAAGCACUUUCCCUUCGUACUUAACCACGCAUUCUGUUGAUACAACUGAAAAGGCUUCAAGAAAUGUCUGAACUUCAGGUGCAUAGUUCUGUCAUAGAUUUGACCUUACAGUCGGAGUGGGGGGAAAAUAGUAUCUUUUCUCAGCUUCCCGUCCAGUUGGAUCUGAGACUUGGAAGCAGAGGAGGAAUCCAAAAUGUGUUUCAAUUAGACUGAAGCCUGGUUCCAGUUUGAAAGGCAAAAAUCAGUAAUCAUUGGGACUUCCGAUGCUGGCAAUCCGAUUUUAAGUUAUAGCCUUUGGAGAAAUAGUGUGCUUUUAGUUUUGCAAGUUCCACUAAGGAUCUGGGCAUUUGCUUUAUACAAAACAAUGUAUUCUGCAUUUGUAUUUAGUAUAUAUGCCUUCGAUUUGGCAAUGUUACCAUGUUUUCUUCUUAAGUUUGUGAAAUAAAGAUUUACAGAUAUUAAAA